Molecule: antisense RNA, 75 nt
Filed under: Micromonospora eburnea
Lineage: Bacteria; Bacillati; Actinomycetota; Actinomycetes; Micromonosporales; Micromonosporaceae
Description: ASpks TB sRNA
Rfam family: ASpks TB sRNA
Source: RNAcentral
CUUCACUGAUCCCAACCACAACGGAUGACCAGCCUCACGGCCCUGCCCGUAGGUGGCCAGCAACGCCUGCGCCUC